AUACGUAAUGUGAAUUGCAGAAUUCAGCGAACCAUCGAAUCUUUGAACGCACAUUGCGCCCGCCAGCAUUCUGGCGGGCAUGCCUGUCCGAGCGUCAUUUCCCCCCUCACGCGCCCCGUUGCGCGCUGGUGUUGGGGCGCCUCCGCCUGGCGGAGGCCCCCGAAAGCGAGUGGCGGGCCCUGUGGAUGGCUCCGAGCGCAGUACCGAACGCAACGUUCUCCCUCGCUCCGGACGCCCCCCAGGUGCCCUGCCGUGAAAACGCGCAUGACGUGCAACUCUUACCCCAAGGUU
RNAcentral lists this unclassified non-coding RNA (291 nucleotides) under Sporothrix globosa. RNAcentral's name for it is "sequence contains 18S rRNA gene, ITS1, 5.8S rRNA gene, ITS2, 28S rRNA gene". The stretch from base 1 to 97 matches the Rfam family "5.8S ribosomal RNA", at positions 58 to 154 of the family's 154-position model. Lineage: Eukaryota; Fungi; Ascomycota; Sordariomycetes; Ophiostomatales; Ophiostomataceae. The record is from RNAcentral.